GACAGAGGGUGCAAACGUUGUUCGGAAUUACUGGGCGUAAAGCGAGUGUAGGCGGUUCGAUAAGUCGGAUGUGAAAGCCCCGGGCUCAACCCGGGAAGUGCACUCGAUACUGUCGAGCUAGAGUAUCGGAGAGGUUGGUGGAAUUCUCGGUGUAGAGGUGAAAUUCGUAGAUAUCGGGAGGAACACCGGUGGCGAAGGCGGCGACCUGGGUCGAUACUGACGCUGAGGCGCGAAAGCGUGGGGAGCAAACAGG
This 253-nucleotide ribosomal RNA is filed under the name uncultured bacterium. Its description in RNAcentral is "partial 16S ribosomal RNA". It matches the Rfam family "Bacterial small subunit ribosomal RNA", at positions 524 to 776 of the family's 1533-position model. The record is from RNAcentral.